AAUGGCAGUGGCGGACGGGUGAGUAACGCGUAGGUAUCUAGUCCUCGGUGGGGGGACAACCACGGGGAAACUGUGGCUAAUACCGCAUGAUGACUGAGGUCUAAAGGCGCAAGUCGCCUGAGGAGGAGCCUGCGUCCGAUUAGCUAGUUGGUGGGGUAAAGGCCCUACCCAAGGCUCCGAUCGGUAGCUGGUCUGAGAGGAUGAUCAGCCACACUGGGACUGAGACACGGCCCAGACUCCUACGGGAGGCAGCAGUGGGGAAUAUUGGACAAUGGGCGCAAGCCUGAUCCAGCAAUGCCGCGUGGGUGAAGAAGGUCUUCGGAUUGUAAAGCCCUUUCGACGGGGACGAUGAUGACGGUACCCGUAGAAGAAGCCCCGGCUAACUUCGUG
This 390-nucleotide ribosomal RNA is filed under the name uncultured bacterium. RNAcentral describes it as "bacterial SSU rRNA". It matches the Rfam family "Bacterial small subunit ribosomal RNA", at positions 88 to 507 of the family's 1533-position model. The record is from RNAcentral.